ACGCUCGACACCUACGAGAGGCAGCAGUGGGGAAUAUUGCACAAUGGGGGAAACCCUGAUGCAGCGACGCCGCGUGAGCGAAGAAGUAUUUCGGUAUGUAAAGCUCUAUCAGCAGGGAAGAAAAUGACGGUACCUGACUAAGAAGCCCCGGCUAACUACGUGCCAGCAGCCGCGGUAAUCUGAGCGGGCUGGCAAGGC
This 198-nucleotide ribosomal RNA is filed under the name uncultured bacterium. RNAcentral's name for it is "partial 16S ribosomal RNA". It matches the Rfam family "Bacterial small subunit ribosomal RNA", at positions 328 to 539 of the family's 1533-position model. The record is from RNAcentral.